GAUGUCUGGAGGAACAGUCAGUUCAAAUGUUCUAAGGCUGGAGUGCACUCACCAAGUUUAAAGAACAUGAGAAAGACCAGCGUGGCUGGAGUUGAGUGAGUGAUAUAGAGAGCAAAAGAAAACAAGGCAGAAAGGCAAUGGGAAGAUCAGCUCAGGCAUGCAAUUUCAUGAGGACAAGGAAAAGUGAACUUGGACCCACAUGUCAUCCUCUGCUAGUCCUGCUAAUUAAUUGAGGAACAUCCAACGGGUCUUGGCACGGGUCUUGGCACUGGUCUUGGUCAUUGCUACAUAAACUUGCAGAAGUGCCUGUGUAUUAUGGUGCUCGAGGUCUGUGCUCUCAGGCAAAGCAGAGCGAUUACUCCAUGAAGCUCAGCAAACCUGUGCUAGGUCCAAUGUCCGGAGAGUCCAAUGUCUGGAGAACUGGCCAGGCACCGACAGACCAGCACCACCGGCACGAUCCUGACAGCACCUCCGGCCUCCUGGAAGUCGGCCUUGGACAGCGUGGAUGCUUCUCCUCCCGAGACACUCCACAAGGAAGAAAUGAUAUAAAACCUGCCGCCAGGUGGCUCCUGACAACCGGCGCGAAUGUCAGCGGGAUGGAUCCGGAACCCGGGCAACAAGGGUGUCCCACUGCCUGCCCAGAGGGCCGAUCGCAUCCCAACCCCCCCCAACCACCUCGGGCGGGUACCAGACACAGGGCUCAUGGCUGGCAAGGGCCUCUGGCUGUGCAAGCCUCACCCAAUUGGGACUGACUGGGCUCAAGCUUGCGGUAGGCGCAGUGGUGCCGGGAUGAGUGGGAAUGGCAAGCAGGAGCGGCAGGUGGUAUUGGACUGUGGGGAUGGGUUUUGGCCUGAUCCCCGCAGGCCAUACCAAGGGACCCCACCCGUGCAUGAAUUCAUGCACCAGGCCGCUAGUGAGAUAUAAGCCAAGUAAUGACUCAUUUAUCUGCUAUCACUGCCAUAAUGAUAUAAAUACUUGCCCAAAGUUUUCAAUUUAAUCCUUAUAAGGCUCCAGGUAAGCUUCUUAGAAAAAGCACCAGUCUUUUCUCUAGCAUUCUUGGGCUAGGAAUGGCUAUUCUAGAUUUCUAGUUGCACAUAUGAACUGAAAUAAGUGGAGGGGAAUUCUGAAGGUCAAGUACAAGAGACAGGAGUGUCUUUAUUGGACACUUGUGAUUUUCAAUAAGCUCUAGAGGUAUAUCUCUGAUUGCUCAAGAAAGCAAGAGAUAAAGGAGGACCCUUUUGUUCUAAGACAGAAUACUCUGUGCCAGGAUAUGGCCUGUGAUAAUUCAGUGAACAUGAAUGAAAACACAAAGAAAACAAAUAUGUAACGUGAGAAUGACUGAUGAAGCCACAGCGUAGAGGAGGCAGAUAAAAGAAAUUUCCUCAAGUAUUAUAAAUUAAUAUAUGGGCUACAAACUUUAUUGAUGUUUUAUUGUUAUACCUGGAGCUUCUUUCUAUUAACCUGUAUUAAUCUUAGUGAGAGUAGGAAGUAAUAUAUUCUCUAAUCAGCAUAGAUUUUUCUAGAAACUGGGCAGAUUAAGAUUGCAAAGAAGGGGUAUUCCUAAAAUGAGUAGAUAAGCCCUUGUGCUAAAAACAUCAUCAAAAGUAGAAUUAUUUUUAGAAUUUACUAUUAUGAAAUUGCUGCGAAAUUUUCAACAUAAAAUAGAGAUGAAGAUGACACAUAAAUAUUGGAAACUUAGAGAAAGAAAACUUGGGAUCAGUACUCUAUGACCACUAGUGUAUCAAAAUCUACCUCAUUGGAGUAAAAGCUGAAACCCAAAUUACAAAUUAAUUUGUGUUGGUAAUUAUUGAAUGCAUAUGAACAACUAGAUAGUUUAUUUAAUGAUGUGAUUUUAAAUUCUUACAGUUUUUGACUCACCUGCAAGAACUUGAGAAUUUAUGCAAUGCUAGAAUUAAUAAUCCACUUCCCGCCAUUUUGUGGCUCUCACCUUGUAUCAAGUACUACUUUCAGUGAAAUGAGAUAAAAUAUAAUAUUUCUUGCUUCUUUAUACAACUUCCUUUCAAAAUAUGAAAUUCACAUUUUUAUAUUAUUUCUUACCUGUUACAAAUCAAUAAACUA
Molecule: long non-coding RNA, 2079 nt
Organism: Myotis daubentonii (Daubenton's bat)
Lineage: Eukaryota; Metazoa; Chordata; Mammalia; Chiroptera; Vespertilionidae
Source: RefSeq, a predicted model, not a curated record